CCUUACCAUGCAGUCGAACGCGAAAGCGGAGCAAUCCGCAAGUAGAGUGGCGAACGGGUGAGUAAUACAUCGGAACAUUUCCAGUAGCGGGGGAUAACCUGUCGAAAGAUAGGCUAAUACCGCAUACGCCCCACGGGGGAAAGCGGAGGACCGCAAGGCUUCGCACUAUUGGAGUGGCCGAUGUCGGAUUAGCUAGUUGGCGGGGUAAAAGCCCACCAAGGCUACGAUCCGUAGCUGGUCUGAGAGGACGAUCAGCCACACUGGAACUGAGACACGGUCCAGACUCCUACGGGAGGCAGCAGUGGGGAAUUUUGGACAAUGGGCGCAAGCCUGAUCCAGCCAUGCCGCGUGAGUGAAGAAGGCCUUCGGGUUGUAAAGCUCUUUCGGCGGGGACGAAAAGGUCCGUGCUAAUACCACGGACUAAUGACGGUACCCGAAGAAGAAGCACCGGCUAACUACGUGCCAGCAGCCGCGGUAAUACGUAGGGUGCAGGCGUUAAUCGGAAUUACUGGGCGUAAAGCGUGCGCAGGCGGUUUGUUAAGACAGAUGUGAAAUCCCCGGGCUUAACCUGGGAACUGCGUUUGUAACUGGCAAGCUAGAGUGUGGCAGAGGGGGGUGGAAUUCCAAGUGUAGCAGUGAAAUGCGUAGAUAUUUGGAGGAACACCGAUGGCGAAGGCAGCCCCCUGGGCUAACACUGACGCUCAUGCACGAAAGCGUGGGGAGCAAACAGGAUUAGAUACCCUGGUAGUCCACGCCCUAAACUAUGUCAACUGGUUGUCGGAGGAGCAAUCCUUUGGUAACGAAGCUAACGCGUGAAGUUGACCGCCUGGGGAGUACGGCCGCAAGGUUAAAACUCAAAGGAAUUGACGGGGACCCGCACAAGCGGUGGAUUAUGUGGAUU
RNAcentral lists this ribosomal RNA (901 nucleotides) under uncultured bacterium. Its description in RNAcentral is "bacterial SSU rRNA". It matches the Rfam family "Bacterial small subunit ribosomal RNA", at positions 47 to 947 of the family's 1533-position model. The record is from RNAcentral.